AUGGUGCUAUUCCUGGUGCUUUUGGUUAUGAAAAAACUGACAUUAGUCAGGAACUUUCUAAGAUUGGGAACCGCCGACCGCGACCCAUGGUGUGUAGAUGAUACACCGGUGAGGAUGAGGAGGAUCUUGCGAUUUCCAGAUUUCAAGUGUCUACACACUAUAUGUAGUAAGUUUUUUAGAGAAGUAGUCAAAUUAAAUCUGGAUACCAAUUUAUUGGAACAUUAUAUUUCUUACAGAAGUAGUCAAACAAUGAUAUCAAUUUGUUGGAACCAUCAAGGAGGUGACACUCCUGGAGGGUAUAUAUUCUCCAUCUUAUGCCUAUUUGAAAUACGGUUAUAG
This 339-nucleotide ribosomal RNA is filed under the name Triticum aestivum (bread wheat). Its description in RNAcentral is "partial small subunit ribosomal RNA". The record is from RNAcentral. Lineage: Eukaryota; Viridiplantae; Streptophyta; Magnoliopsida; Poales; Poaceae.